UGCCCACCACAUCUGUACUCGUAGAGGAGGAACAUGCAGACGACGGUGUCGUCGUGGUCACGAACAAUCCCAUGGGCAAGUGGACUGUAACUUGGGAUUGCUGUGCUGCGUACGCCGCAAAGGAAAAUGAUUCCGUCUCCAUCUACCAUCCUGGAUGUCUUCAAGAUUUGGCUAAUGACCUGAGAUUACUGCCUGCUAUUGCUUUAUCUUUCUUUACAUGAAUCAAACUGCUAUCUAUCAAACUCGAAAACAUUUAUGCAUUGAAGUAAAAUUUGGCAAAUAUUCCUUGAAAUAAAGCUAAAUGAGCAUUGCA
Molecule: non-coding RNA, 313 nt
Organism: Thamnophis sirtalis
Lineage: Eukaryota; Metazoa; Chordata; Lepidosauria; Squamata; Natricidae
Source: RefSeq, a predicted model, not a curated record